AUUGAACGCUGGCGGCAGGCCUAACACAUGCAAGUCGAGCGGAUGAAGGGAGCUUGCUCCUGGAUUCAGCGGCGGACGGGUGAGUAAUGCCUAGGAAUCUGCCUGGUAGUGGGGGAUAACGUCCGGAAACGGGCGCUAAUACCGCAUACGUCCUGAGGGAGAAAGUGGGGGAUCUUCGGACCUCACGCUAUCAGAUGAGCCUAGGUCGGAUUAGCUAGUUGGUGGGGUAAAGGCCUACCAAGGCGACGAUCCGUAACUGGUCUGAGAGGAUGAUCAGUCACACUGGAACUGAGACACGGUCCAGACUCCUACGGGAGGCAGCAGUGGGGAAUAUUGGACAAUGGGCGAAAGCCUGAUCCAGCCAUGCCGCGUGUGUGAAGAAGGUCUUCGGAUUGUAAAGCACUUUAAGUUGGGAGGAAGGGCAGUAAGUUAAUACCUUGCUGUCUUGACGUUACCAGCAGAAUAAGCACCGGCUAACUUCGUG
Molecule: ribosomal RNA, 484 nt
Filed under: uncultured bacterium
Lineage: Bacteria
Description: partial 16S ribosomal RNA
Rfam family: Bacterial small subunit ribosomal RNA
Source: RNAcentral